Alligator mississippiensis (American alligator) is the source of this 274-nucleotide long non-coding RNA. RefSeq lists it as uncharacterized. The record is from RefSeq and is a predicted model, not a curated record. NCBI's taxonomy places the organism in Eukaryota, Metazoa, Chordata, Crocodylia, Alligatoridae. The transcript has 3 exons.
AGAACAUGCCAGGAUUUUCUAGGAUGACGGAAGUCUUGUUUGGAAAACUACCACUGGAUUCUGAUCUUAAGCAACCUCCAUGAUUUUCUUGAAACAAAUCGUUGUGAGUAGGGAGCAAUGAAAAUAUGAUGUUUAUAAAUGAAAGCAGUACCCCUUGCACUGAGGAGCAUCUUACUCAGUGAUAAACGUGAGUAAAAUGCACCAAGGCUACUUAAGGAGUAUGCAGUGUAAGAAAGAGGGAAUAAUGAGAGGGUGAUUAAAGGCAUCAGAAUGU